UCAAGCGACUAAGUGUAUGUGGUGGAUGCCUUGGCGAUCACAGGCGAUGAAGGACGUGACAGCCUGCGAAAAGCUGUGGGGAGCUGGCAAAUAAGCUUUGAUCCACAGAUGUCCGAAUGAGGGAACUCACCUGCUUUGCAGGUAUCCCAUCCUGAAUAUAUAGGGAUGGGAGGCGAACGAAGCGAACUGAAACAUCUAAGUAGCUUCAGGAAAAGAAAUCAACCGAGAUUCCGAAAGUAGCGGCGAGCGAAAUCGGAUCAGCCCAGCACUCGAUAGCAGCCAACUUACGGGAACGGUCUGGAAAGUCCGGCCAUAGAGGGUGAUAGCCCCUUACUGGAAAAGGCAGCUGUGGUACUAAGUGUGCGAUAAGUAGAGCGGGACACGUGACAUCCUGCUCGAAGAUGGGGGGACCAUCCUCCAAGGCUAAAUACUCGUGAUCGACCGAUAGUGAACCAGUACUGUGAAGGAAAGGUGAAAAGAACCCCGGGAGGGGAGUGAAAUAGAUCCUGAAACCGCAUACAUACAAACAGUAGGAGCCCGCAAGGGUGACUGCGUACCUUUUGCAUAAUGGGUCAGCGACUUACGUUCAAUGGCGAGCUUAACCGGAUAGGGGAGGCGCAGCGAAAGCGAGUCCGAACAGGGCGAAAUUCAGUCGUUGGGCGUAGACCCGAAACCAGAUGAUCUAUCCAUGGUCAGGCUGAAGGUGUGGUAACACACACUGGAGGGCCGAACCGACUAGUGUUGCAAAAUUAGCGGAUGAACUGUGGAUAGGGGUGAAAGGCUAAACAAAUCUGGAGAUAGCUGGUUCUCCCCGAAAACUAUUGAGGUAGUGCCUCGUGUAUGGCUCCAGGGGGUAGAGCACUGUUAUGGCUAGGGGGACAUGGCGUCUUACCAAACCAUGGCAAACUCCGAAUACUUGGAAGUCAGAGCACGGGAGACAGAGCACCGGGUGCUAACGUCCGGACUCAAAAGGGAAACAACCCAGACCGCCGGCUAAGGUCCCUAAUAUCGGCUAAGUGGAAAACGAAGUGGGAAGGCUAAGACAGUCAGGAAGUUGGCUUAGAAGCAGCCAUCCUUCAAAGAAAGCGUAAUAGCUCACUGAUCGAGUCUUCCUGCGCGGAAGAUGUAACGGGGCUAAGUCGAUAACCGAAGCCGCGGAUUCAACUGUAAAGGUUGAGUGGUAGGGGAGCGUUCCGUAAGCCUGAGAAGGCGGACCCGCGAGGGCCGCUGGAGGUAUCGGAAGUGCGAAUGCUGACAUGAGUAACGUUAAAGCGGGUGAAAAGCCCGCUCGCCGCAAGCCCAAGGUUUCCUGCUCUACGUUCAUCGGAGCAGGGUGAGUCGGCCCCUAAGGCGAGGCUGAGAAGCAUAGCUGAUGGGAACCAGGUUAAUAAUCCUGGACCGAUUGCAGGUGCGAAGGAGGGACGGAGUGCUGAAGGUCAUCCGGGUGUUGGAUAUCCCGGUUUGCGAGCGUAGGAAGCCGGCAGGCAAAUCCGCCGGCGAAUUUCCGAGGCGAAGCAUCGAGGCUGGUUUCAGCUGAAGUGACUGAAUGGACUUCCAGGAAAAGCUUCUAAGCAUCAGCCUGCAAUUGACCGUACCGCAAACCGACACUGGUGGGCGAGCUGAAUAUGCUCAGGCGCUUGAGAGAACUCAGGAGAAGGAACUCGGCAAAUUGACACCGUAACUUCGGGAUAAGGUGUGCCUUUGUAGCGUGGAGGGAGAAACACCCCGAGCGCGAAGAGGUCUCAGAUAAUCGGUGGCUGCGACUGUUUAUUAAAAACACAGCACUCUGCAAAGACGAAAGUCGACGUAUAGGGUGUGAUGCCUGCCCGGUGCUGGAAGAUUAAUUGAUGGGCUGCAAGGUCCUGAUCGAAGUCCCAGUAAACGGCGGCCGUAACUAUAACGGUCCUAAGGUAGCGAAAUUCCUUGUC
Molecule: ribosomal RNA, 1928 nt
Filed under: human gut metagenome
Description: bacterial LSU rRNA
Rfam family: Bacterial large subunit ribosomal RNA
Source: RNAcentral